Molecule: ribosomal RNA, 484 nt
Filed under: uncultured bacterium
Lineage: Bacteria
Description: partial 16S ribosomal RNA
Rfam family: Bacterial small subunit ribosomal RNA
Source: RNAcentral
GACGAACGCUGGCGGCGUGCUAAACACAUGCAAGUCGAACGAUGAACCCGGAGCUUGCUCCGGUGGAUUAGUGGCGAACGGGUGAGUAACACGUGAGUAACCUGCCCUUGACUCUGGGAUAACUGCGGGAAACUGUAGCUAAUACCGGAUACGACCCUCGGCGGCAUCGCCAGGGGGUGGAAAGAAUUCCGGUCAAGGAUGGACUCGCGGCCUAUCAGCUAGUUGGUGAGGUAACGGCUCACCAAGGCGACGACGGGUAGCCGGCCUGAGAGGGUGACCGGCCACACUGGGACUGAGACACGGCCCAGACUCCUACGGGAGGCAGCAGUGGGGAAUAUUGCACAAUGGGCGCGAGCCUGAUGCAGCAACGCCGCGUGAGGGAUGACGGCCUUCGGGUUGUAAACCUCUUUUAGUAGGGAAGAAGCGAAAGUGACGGUGCCUGCAGAAAAAGCACCGGCUAACUACGUGCCAGCCGCCGCCGUAA